CCCCCCUCGCGUGACCCGGGGACCUGGCUAUAAAUGAACCAUUGCGGGAGCUCCGACGCUCAGGGUAUCGGCUUCGAUCCCUGGUCUCGCUUCCGGCUUCGGUUCGAUCCCCUCCUUUCGGAUUACUUCAGCAUCCGAUUCUUUCACCAGGUGUUCUGUUGAAUAAUGCUUGGUAAGAGUUCAGAAUCGGGAGAUUUGGACGUUUGGUUUAAGCGCCUCAUUGUGUCUGGUGGUGGAGGGAAGAUGGAGGGGGCAGGGGAUGUCAUGACAGGUUGGAAGGACCUCCCUAUGGAACUUUUGCUGCGAGUCCUGUCUCCAGUGGACGACCGGACUGUGAUUGUGGCUUCAGAUGUUUGUACUAGCUGGAGAGAUGCACUGCGGUUGGGAAUUACUAGUAUUUCUCUAUCAUGGUGCAAGUACAACAUGAACAGUCUUGUGAAAUCGCUUGCCCCUAAGUUUGUGAAGCUGCAGGUGUUGACACUUCGACAAAAUUAUCGACCUCAGCUUGAGGAUGAUGCUGUGGAGACUGUUGCUAGGUACUGCCAUGAUUUGAGGGAUCUAGACCUUAGCAAAGGCCUGAAACUGAGUGACCGCUCUUUGUAUGCUUUGGCCGAUGGAUGUCCCCACCUAACAAAACUAAACAUCAGUGGUUGUGAAGCCUUUAGUGAUUAUGCUCUUGUAUACCUGAGUAGUUGCUGCAAAAACCUGAAAAACUUGAACCUUUGUGGAUGUUCGGCAGCUGCAUCGGACAGAGCUCUACAGGCUAUUUCAUUUAAUUGCCCUAAAUUGCAGUAUUUGAAUUUGGGCUGGUGUGAAGACAUCAGUGAUGAAGGAGUUACCAAUUUGGCAGUAGGUUGCCCUGAUCUCAGGGCGUUGGACUUGUGUGGCUGUGUUCAUAUAACAGAUAAAAGUGUGAUUGCAUUGGCAAAUGGCUGUCCGCAUCUGAGAUCUCUCGGCUUGUAUUACUGCCAAAACAUCACUGAUCGGGCCAUGUACUCGCUCGCAAACAGCCGUGCAAGGAAUGACACUCGGAUGUGGCAGAACAGCAGCCAUGACCAAGAAGGACUAGUGAACCUGAACAUCAGCCAGUGCACAGCCUUGACACCUCCGGCAGUCCAAGCUGUUUGUGACUCAUUCCCAGGGCUUCAUACCUGCCCCGGAAGGCACUCACUCAUCAUCAGCGGCUGCCUCAGCCUCACUUCUGUUCACUGUGGUUGCACCUUUCAAACUUCCCGUGCCGGUGGAGCAACUUUAGCUGGCGAUGCUUAGCACAAGUACCAGUCUCUGUACAUAUGUGCUCGACACAACAUUGCUACACCAAUUAACGAUGAGCAAGCUAAUUCUGCCGGAGAAUGAACCUCCACCGGUGAUAAAAGUUGGUCAUGGUCGCGGGUUGACUUUCUGUCCAGAGUUGCAUGUCAUCAUGACUUCCAUAGAAGAAAAGAAGAAAAGAUCAUGCUGAAACACAGCUACUAUGAUCAAGACCAGCUUAUCUCGACGUGGGGGAGAGGGAUGCGAGGAGCAGCAAGCAAGAACAGCUCUGAUUUCCGAGAUGCAGUUCCCCCGAUAUUCUCUGUCAUGUCCAGAUCUCCUGGCUUCAUGGCAUGGGGGAGUUCCCAGUCGAAGUAGAAGAGAAGAUGAGCCAGCACCAGCUCCACGCCGACCAUCGCAAACUGCACGCCGGGGCACAUCCUCCUCCCAGCUCCGAAGGGUAUGUACUCGAAGUUGGCCCCCUUGAAGUCGACCGGACUUCCUUGGAACCUCUCCGGCCGGAAGCACUCGGCGUCGUCGCCCCAGUAUGUUGGGUCCCUCCCCAGUGCCCAGGCAUUGACGACGACCCUGCUUCCUGCCGGUAUCUUGAAUCCCAGCACCUGCGACGUCUCC
Musa acuminata AAA Group (dessert banana) is the source of this 1884-nucleotide RNA transcript. It is a transcript of the gene named F-box protein SKP2A, with no coding region annotated. The transcript has 7 exons. NCBI's taxonomy places the organism in Eukaryota, Viridiplantae, Streptophyta, Magnoliopsida, Zingiberales, Musaceae. The record is from RefSeq and is a predicted model, not a curated record.